This is a non-coding RNA of Chiloscyllium plagiosum (whitespotted bambooshark), 996 nucleotides long. The record is from RefSeq and is a predicted model, not a curated record. Lineage: Eukaryota; Metazoa; Chordata; Chondrichthyes; Orectolobiformes; Hemiscylliidae.
CGUAUGCUGGGUGCCGGAGUUGUGGGCUCUUAAAGGCAACCGAAUUUUAAUUUACCGGCUAAAAAUAGAGCUUUCGGAGAGACGCUAUGAUCUACAGAAUACAGUAACUGGCCAGUUCUGAUGGUUCCGUGGGAAGGCGUGAGACAUCCAACGCUUACGAAAGGCGCGAUGUACUUAUGGAUGCAGCAACCUUUGUUUUAACCAGAACCUGAGGCCCUCUUCAUAUAUAAUGAAGAAUUCUGUGCAUCAUGCAAAAAAAAACUGGAUAAAAUCCAAGUGUUGACUGAUAUGUACCAAGUAACUUGUGCAGCACCUAAACGAAGACCAUCCAUAACAAUACAAUCUAACCACGUCUCCUUAAUAUUCAGUUCUCACCAUCAACAUCCUGGAAGGGUGCUACCAUUAGCCUAGUUCAAUUUCUGAUCCAUCACAUAAAUACCAUGGCUGGAAGAGCAUGUGAAAGGCUAGGUGUGAAACUGGUAACUCUCUUCUUAACGUCCACUUUUUAUCAACCACAAGAAAUCAUAUUUCCCUAUAUUGUUGCAGCUCAACUUCUCACAAGAAUUUACAUCAUUCAGGAGAAAGCAGACUGCUUGAUCUGACACCCACAAACAACUCAAGAUAUUAAUUCUUUUCAUCCUUACUCAAGUAGGUGAAUAUACGACAUAACAAGAUGCAUCACAGCAACUAAUCAAAAUAUUUUCAGUAUGUAAAGUGCAGCAGGCAUAAGGCUCCAAGGUCCCCUCUGAUUUUGACAUAAGUCUAGAGUUUUUGCUACAUUGUUGGGUCAAAAGCCUGGAAGUCCCUAUAGAAAUGUGGGAGUUCUUUUUCACCACAUGGACUGUAUGCCACAGUUCAAGUAGGCAACUCACCACCAUCACAUUUUCAAGAGAAGGAAGGGCAAUAAAUAUUGGUUUUGCCAGCAGUGUCCAUCACUAGAGAAUUUUUUUUUAAAUAAAGUCUUAAAAUGGAAUAUUUUAGAAAAUCAUGGCAACA